This is a non-coding RNA of Enhydra lutris kenyoni (northern sea otter), 566 nucleotides long. Lineage: Eukaryota; Metazoa; Chordata; Mammalia; Carnivora; Mustelidae. The record is from the annotation of a RefSeq genome assembly.
GCCCCAACACCAGGAUUCCCAAGUGUUCCAAUCAGUACUCAGGACAGGACACAGACAAGUCACAAUGGAGUUUGUGCUUGGCUGGGUUUUCCUUGUUGCUCUUUUAAAAGGUGUCCAGUGUGAGGUGCAGCUGGUGGAGUCUGGGGGAGACCUGGUGAAGCCUGGGGGGUCCCUGAGACUCUCCUGUGCAGCCUUUGGAUUCACCUUCAGUAGUUCCUACAUGAACUGGGUCUGCCAGGCUCCAGGGAAUGGGCUACAGUGGAUCGCAGAUAUUAGCGGUGAUGGAAGUAGCACAAGCUACGCAGACUCCGUGGAGGGCCGAUUCACCAUCUCCAGAGACAACAGCAAGGACACGCUGUAUCUGCAGAUGAACAGCCUGAGAGCCGAGGACACAGCCGUGUAUUACUGUGCAACAGACACAGUGAGGGGCCCUCAGUGUGAGCCCAGACACAAACUUCACUGUGUCCUGUCCCAGGUGCUGCUGCAGGAGUCCGGACCAAGCCUGGUGAGAGGCUCACAGAACCUGCACCUCACCAUCACCAUCUCUGGAUUCUCCAUCUCAAACG